CCUACGGGAGGCAGCAGUAAGGAAUAUUGGUCAAUGGGCGCAAGCCUGAACCAGCCAUGCCGCGUGCAGGAAGACGGCCCUAUGGGUUGUAAACUGCUUUUGAACAAGAGAAAACCUCGGUACGUGUACCGAGCUGAUAGUAUUGUUAGAAUAAGCAUCGGCUAACUUCGUGCCAGCAGCCGCGGUAAGACGAAGGAUGCAAGCGUUAUCCGGAUUCAUUGGGUUUAAAGGGUGCGUAGGCGGCCUGAUAAGUCAGUGGUGAAAUCUCUCAGCUUAACUGAGAAACUGCCAUUGAUACUGUCGGGCUUGAGUACAGAUGAUGUGGGCGGAAUAUGACAUGUAGUGGUGAAAUACUUAGAUAUGUCAUAGAACACCGAUUGCGAAGGCAGCUCACAAAACUGUAACUGACGCUGAGGCACGAAAGUGCGGGGAUCAAACAGGAUUAGAUACCCUGGUAGUCCGCACCGUAAACGAUGAUUACUCGUUGUUGGCAAUAUGACCGUCAGCGACCAAGCGAAAGCGAUAAGAAUCCACCUGGGGAGUACGCCGGCAACGGUGAAACGUCAAAUGAAUUGACGGGCGNGAGAGNGCGAGACGACGACGAGGGAGAGG
RNAcentral lists this ribosomal RNA (612 nucleotides) under uncultured bacterium. RNAcentral's name for it is "bacterial SSU rRNA". It matches the Rfam family "Bacterial small subunit ribosomal RNA", at positions 338 to 950 of the family's 1533-position model. The record is from RNAcentral.